Molecule: ribosomal RNA, 484 nt
Filed under: uncultured bacterium
Lineage: Bacteria
Description: partial 16S ribosomal RNA
Rfam family: Bacterial small subunit ribosomal RNA
Source: RNAcentral
AUUGAACGCUGGCGGCAGGCCUAACACAUGCAAGUCGAGCGGAUGAAGGGAGCUUGCUCCUGGAUUCAGCGGCGGACGGGUGAGUAAUGCCUAGGAAUCUGCCUGGUAGUGGGGGAUAACGUCCGGAAACGGGCGCUAAUACCGCAUACGUCCUGAGGGAGAAAGUGGGGGAUCUUCGGACCUCACGCUAUCAGAUGAGCCUAGGCCGGAUUAGCUAGUUGGUGGGGUAAAGGCCUACCAAGGCGACGAUCCGUAACUGGUCUGAGAGGAUGAUCAGUCACACUGGAACUGAGACACGGUCCAGACUCCUACGGGAGGCAGCAGUGGAGAAUAUUGGACAAUGGGCGAAAGCCUGAUCCAGCCAUGCCGCGUGUGUGAAGAAGGUCUUCGGAUUGUAAAGCACUUUAAGUUGGGAGGAAGUGCAGUAAGUUAAUACCUUGCUGUUUUGACGUUACCAACAGAAUAAGCACCGGCUAACUUCGUG